GACGAACGCUGGCGGCGUGCUUAACACAUGCAAGUGGAGCGACGAACCAGGCUUCGGCCUGGGGCAGAGCCGCGAACGGGUGAGUAACACGUGGGUAACCUGCCCCGAUGACUGGGACAACCCGGGGAAACCCGGGCUAAUACCGGAUGUGUACCCGACGCACAAGCGUCGGGUGGAAAGGAAGCUUCGGCCUCCGCAUCGGGAUGGGCCCGCGGCCCAUUAGCUUGUUGGUGAGGUAACGGCUCACCAAGGCUUCGAUGGGUAGCUGGUCUGAGAGGACGAUCAGCCACACUGGGACUGAGACACGGCCCAGACUCCUACGGGAGGCAGCAGUGGGGAAUCUUGCGCAAUGCGCGAAAGCGUGACGCAGCAACGCCGCGUGGGGGAAGAAGGCCUUCGGGUUGUAAACCCCUUUCAGGAGGGACGAAGGUUGGGCGGUUAAUAGCCGUCCCAACUGACGGUACCUCCACAAGAAGCCCCGGCUAACUACGUGCCAGCCGCCGCAGUAACAC
This 512-nucleotide ribosomal RNA is filed under the name uncultured bacterium. RNAcentral's name for it is "bacterial SSU rRNA". It matches the Rfam family "Bacterial small subunit ribosomal RNA", at positions 28 to 526 of the family's 1533-position model. The record is from RNAcentral.